This 1478-nucleotide ribosomal RNA is filed under the name uncultured Bordetella sp. RNAcentral describes it as "partial 16S-23S ribosomal RNA intergenic spacer". It matches the Rfam family "Bacterial small subunit ribosomal RNA". The record is from RNAcentral. Lineage: Bacteria; Pseudomonadati; Pseudomonadota; Betaproteobacteria; Burkholderiales; Alcaligenaceae.
GGUUCGAUUUGCGGCUCGUGAUUGACCGCUGGCGGGAUGUGCUUACACAUGCAAGUCGAACGGCAGCACGGACUUCGGUCUGGUGGCGAGUGGCGAACGGGUGAGUAAUGUAUCGGAACGCCUAGUAGCGGGGAUAACUACGCGAAAGCGUAAUCAAUACCGCAUACGCCCUUCGGGGGAAAGCGGGGACCUUCGGGCCUCGCACUAUUAGAGCGGCCGAUAUCGGAUUAGCUAGCUGGUGGGUAACGGCUCACCAAGGCGACGAUCCGUAGCUGGUUUGAGAGGACGACCAGCCACACUGGGACUGGAGACACGGCCCAGACCCACGGAGGCAGCAGUGGGGAAUUUUGACAAUGGGGGAAACUGAUCCAGCCAUCCCGCGUGCGAUGAAGGCCUUCGGGUUGUAAAGCACUUUUGGCAGGAGAAUGCGGCACGUGGAUAAUACCCCGUGCAACUGACGGUACCUGCAGAAUAAGCACCGGCUAACUACGUGCCAGCAGCCGCGGUAAUACGUAGGGUGCAAGCGUUAAUCGGAAUUACUGGGCGUAAAGCGUGCGCAGGCGGUUCGGAAAGAAAGAUGUGAAAUCCCAGAGCUUAACUUUGGAACUGCAUUUUUAACUACCGAGCUAGAGUGUGUCAGAGGGAGGUGGAAUUCGCGUGUAGCAGUGAAAUGCGUAGAUAUGCAGAGGAACACCGAUGGCGAAGGCAGCCUCCUGGGAUAACAUCGACGCUCAUGCACGAAAGCGUGGGGAGCAAACAGAUUAGAUACCCUGGGUAGUCCACGCUCUAAACGAUGUCAACUAGCUGUUGGGGCCUUCGCUCUGGUAGCGCAGCUAACGCGUGAAGUUGACCGCCUGGGGAGUACGGUCGCAAGAUUAAAACUCAAAGGAAUUGACGGGGACCCGCACAAGCGGUGGAUGAUGUGGAUUAAUUCGAUGCAACGCGAAAAACCUUACCUACCCUUGACAUGUCUGGAAUCCCGAAGAGGACGGGAGUGCUCGCAAGAGAACCGGAACACAGGUGCUGCAUGGCUGUCGUCAGCUCGUGUCGUGAGAUGUUGGGUUAAGUCCCGCAACGAGCGCAACCCUUGUCAUUAGUUGCUACGAAAGGGCACUCUUAAUGAGACUGCCGGUGACAAACCGGAGGAAGGUGGGGAUGACGUCAAGUCCUCAUGGCCCUUAUGGGUAGGGCUUCACACGUCAUACAAUGGUCGGGACAGAGGGUCGCCAACCCGCGAGGGGGAGCCAAUCCCCAGAAACCCGAUCGUAGUCCGGAUCGCAGUUCGCAACCUCGACUGCGUGAAGUCGGAAUCGCUAGUAAUCGCGGAUCAGCAUGUCGCGGUGAAUACGUUCCCGGGUCUUGUACACACCGCCCGUCACACCAUGGGAGUGGGUUUUACCAGAAGUAGUUAGCCUAACCGUAAGGAGGGCGAUUACCACGGUAGGAUUCAUGACUGGGGUGAAGUCGUAACAAGGUAA